UUAUCCCGGCAUUUACUUCUGGCCUUUGUCCGAGCCUUGAAUGCUGCCGAGUUGUACAAGUGCUGCAAAACAAAAGAAGAAAUAAAGGUCAUGAAUG
This is a non-coding RNA of Tinamus guttatus (white-throated tinamou), 97 nucleotides long. The record is from RefSeq and is a predicted model, not a curated record. NCBI's taxonomy places the organism in Eukaryota, Metazoa, Chordata, Aves, Tinamiformes, Tinamidae.